AGUGAACGCUGGCGGUAGGCCUAACACAUGCAAGUCGAACGGCAGCACAGUAAGAGCUUGCUCUUACGGGUGGCGAGUGGCGGACGAGUGAGGAAUACAUCGGAAUCUACUUUUUCGUGGGGGAUAACGUAGGGAAACUUACGCUAAUACCGCAUACGACCUACGGGUGAAAGCAGGGGAUCUUCGGACCUUGCGCGAUUGAAUGAGCCGAUGUCGGAUUAGCUAGUUGGCGGGGUAAAGGCCCACCAAGGCGACGAUCCGUAGCUGGUCUGAGAGGAUGAUCAGCCACACUGGAACUGAGACACGGUCCAGACUCCUACGGGAGGCAGCAGUGGGGAAUAUUGGACAAAGGGCGCAAGCCUGAUCCGGCCAUACCGCGUGGGUGAAGAAGGCCUUCGGGUUGUAAAGCCCUUUUGUUGGGAAAGAAAAGCAGCAGGUUAAUACCCCGCUGUUCUGACGGUACCCAAAGAAUAAGCACCGGCUAACUUCGUG
Molecule: ribosomal RNA, 492 nt
Filed under: uncultured bacterium
Lineage: Bacteria
Description: partial 16S ribosomal RNA
Rfam family: Bacterial small subunit ribosomal RNA
Source: RNAcentral